CUUGAUGUCACUUUCUUAAAGAAUUGCUAAAGACAGCUUUACUUUAUCUGAAAUUAUCUUAGUUUACUUUCAUUUUCUAAGGAUAUCUUGAUUGGAUUUUGAAUUCUGGGUUAGUAGGUGGUUUUUCCUGAGUACUUUAAAGGUGUUAUUCCAGAGACAGUGUCAAGAUGGCAGCAUAGGUGGACUCUGAACUCACCUUCUCCCAUGGACGCAACCAAUUUACAACUACUCUUGGAACAAUUACCCCUGAGAGAGAACCAAAAACUGAGUGUAAUGAAUCCCAACAACAAGGGACAGUGCUGACUGAGGUGGAAGAGGCAGAAAUUCCUUUCUGGAGAGAAAAAUGCCACCUUUGACCCACAGCACUUCACACCUGACUGGGAGCAAUCUUAAGUCCUGAACCCCGCUGCCUCAGAAUGUGACUGUAUUUGGAGAUCGGGCCCUUAAAGAUGGUGGGCCCUAAUCCGUUUUCACAGACACACACAGAGGAAGAUUAUGUGAAGACACGGAGAAAAGAUGGCCAUCUACCAGCCAAGGAGAGAGACCUCAGAAGAAACCAACCCUGCUGGCACCUUGAUCUCAGACUUCUAGCCUCCAGACUUGGCACUUCGAAGUAGCUGUGACUCUGGGAAUCCAGGCGGAUAUUGGGACCAAUUCAAGAGGCUCUGAGAGUGGCAUCCUGGGGGACGCAAGCACCACGUAGGUUCUCAGCCAGCCCAGAGUCCCUCCUUAUGGCAUGUGCUUCUGGCUCCUGUUUCCUGGCUUUCCAAGAGCGCUGUCACUGGAUAGCCUGCUGGAGACUUUGGGGGAGAGCAAAGACGAGGAGCAUCAAGGAGACCACACUCUUUUUCUCUAAGCAGUCUCGGGAGAACAGAAUUCCAAGCGUUAAAGUGGAUGGUGUGGAUUUUAGAGGUGUAAACUGUGAG
Molecule: long non-coding RNA, 926 nt
Filed under: Equus asinus (donkey)
Lineage: Eukaryota; Metazoa; Chordata; Mammalia; Perissodactyla; Equidae
Description: lncRNA (ENSEASG00005028064.1)
Source: RNAcentral